Molecule: ribosomal RNA, 253 nt
Filed under: uncultured bacterium
Lineage: Bacteria
Description: partial 16S ribosomal RNA
Rfam family: Bacterial small subunit ribosomal RNA
Source: RNAcentral
UACGUAGGGUGCGAGCGUUAAUCGGAAUUACUGGGCGUAAAGCGUGCGCAGGCGGCGCCGCAAGUCGAGUGUGAAAUCCCCGAGCUUAACUUGGGAAUUGCGCUCGAAACUACGGUGCUGGAGUGUGGCAGAGGGAGGUGGAAUUCCACGUGUAGCGGUGAAAUGCGUAGAUAUUGUGAGGAACACUAGUGGCGAAGGCGAGACUCUGGACAGUUCCUGACGCUGAGGCACGAAGGCCAGGGGAGCAAACGGG